RNAcentral lists this ribosomal RNA (2712 nucleotides) under Triticum aestivum (bread wheat). RNAcentral's name for it is "partial small subunit ribosomal RNA". The record is from RNAcentral. Lineage: Eukaryota; Viridiplantae; Streptophyta; Magnoliopsida; Poales; Poaceae.
AUGGCCAGCUUAGUGCUGCCGUCCACCUUCCCAAUGGCCGAUCUAGCGCCGCCGUCCACCUAUCCCAUAGAAGCCGCAACGCCCACAUCCAUCAUCUCCAUGGACGCCGCAGCGCCGCCUUCGACCUCCAUCGUACCCACACCAGCGCCGCCGUCCACCUUUCCCACAACUGCACCAGCGCCGCGGUCCACCUCCCCCAUGGCUGUACCAGCGCCGCCUUCCAACUCCCCCACUGCCGGACCAGAGCAACCAUUCACCUCCUCCAUAUCCGCCCCAGCGGCGCCGCCGUCAGCCACCACCAUGGCUGUCACCAGCGAUGCUCGCAAGAAGCGACCUCCCUGCAAGAAGAAGAAGAUUCUUGCUGUCCAAGAAGAACCUGCCAAGAUUGCGCCGCCAUCCAUAAUCUCCGUGGACGCCGCAACGCCGCCUUCCACCUCCAACGUCACCGCACCAACGCCGUCAUCCACUUCCCCCACAGCUGCACCAGCGCCGCCGUCCAACUCCUCCACGGCCAGACUAGCGCAGCUGUCCAACUCCACCACCGGUGAGGCUCGCAAGAAGCGGCCUGGGCAUGAACUCCCAAGGUCUGGCUCCAAGAAGAAGAAGAAGAUAGCUGCUGUCCAUGAAGCCCCUGCUGAGAAUGCUGUUGAAGCCGUCCUUGCUUCUGAAUCUGACAAGACCAAGUGCCUCAGUGGCUCUGCCAAGAGGAAGCUGAAGAAGCAAAAGCCUACGAAGGAAGACUCUAAUGGGGAUGCUCCUAAUGGGACCGCUGCUGAGAAAGAGCAGGAGGCUCCCAUUGAACAAGAGAAAAUUGAGAUGACCCUUGAAGAUUAUGAGAAGGUGCAAGAAAAGAAGAAGUCUCUGGAGGCCUCUAAACCAGAGGAGAGGAGGGUUGUUGAUGUAGAUUUUGAGGGUCUCCAGCUCUUGGAGAAAAAAUUGAUUGAGGAUGAUGCUAAAUUGAAGGCGGAAAAUGUUCGUAAAGCAAAGGAGGUUGCUGCAAAGGAAGCUAAACCUUGCAAGAGAGCUAGUCCACGAGUUUAUUCUCCAAAGAUUGUGGCGAGCUCCCCAGGGGUCAAUAUGUUAGCAAGAUCAGCUGCAUUGAAGAGGGUGUCAUCGGCGGUGAGGCACGCUUCCGCAAAAAGAGCAAAGUUAGCAGAUCAACUAGAGACACCUGAAUCACAAUGGACGCUGCUACAGAACACCCCUUUGCUUCAAAAUCUGUCUCCUGCAGCGAGAAGACCUAGUUCCCAUGGGUCAAAGCGUAGACGCCGCAAGCUAACAUCUCGCAUUUGGGAGGAGGACAAGCCAAUCUAUGAUGGUCGAAUGCUUGUGGAAGGCCAGUGUAAUCAUUGUGAACAAAUUUUUCCGGCCACACGAGACAGUGGGACCAGCCACUUACGUCGGCACCUGAAGGUAUGCCCAAUGAAAAUUGCUAUGAAUGAAAUGAUUUACAAGUUGGGUCCUCCUGAGGUGGUAGAUCCUAAUUGGAAAUUUGAUGCUAAAGUCUCACGGUUUGAAUUAGUCAAGUUGAUUGUUGUGAAUGAAUUGCCGUUCUCUCUCGCGAAGUACAAACCAUUUCGGGACUUUGCUGCUUCCUUAAAUCCGUGGUUCAAAGUGCCCUCGAGAACAACUGUCAAAAAUGAUUGCAUGGAAAAUUUUAAGAGAAACAGACUAAAAGUGCAACAAUAUUUUGAGAAGUCUACUAGUAGAGUAUCUUUGACAGCAGAUAUGUGGACGUCAAACCAAAAAUUGGGUUAUCUUUGCAUCACCUGCCACUUGAUUGAUUCAGAUUGGCAAAUUAAAAUUGUCAUAAGAUUCUUCAUGAUGCAGACACCUCACAAUGCUAUGAACAUGUAUGGUGUGAUACUAAAGACUAUUCAAGAGUUUAAUUUAGAGGAUAAGCUCUUUGGUUUCACGUUAGACAACGCACCGGUGAAUACCGCGAUGAUAAACCACUUAAGAGAGAAUUUGGUUAAAAAAGGUUGUCUUCUCUUGAAAGGAAAAUUAUUUCAUUGUCGAUGUGCUCCUCAUGUCUUCAACUUGAUGGUUCAAGAUGCUCUUCUCGCAAUGAAAUCUGUGGUCAAUAACAUUCGAGAAUCUAUCCAAUUCGUAAAGAGUUUGCAAUCAAGAGGCCAACAAUUUCAAGAGAUAAUCAAUCAAGUGGGGUGCUGUUUUGUUAGGCAGCCUUCUGUAGAUGUACAAACUCGUUGGAAUUCCACAUAUUUGAUGCCUGAAUCAGCUAUACCAUUUAGAAGUGCAUUUGAUGCCUUAGGGCAGCAAGACAAGGAGUACGAGUUUUGUCCAACACCUAUUGAAUGGAAAAUGGCUGAAUCUGCAUGCAAAUUGCUAAAAGGAUUUUACACAGCAACCAAACUUCUCUCUGGAUCUAAGUAUCCGACUAGUCAUCUCUACUUCCCCCAGCUAUGUAAGAUUAAGAAGAUCUUGAACAGAGAGUCAUCAAGUAAGAACACCAUCAUUGCGCAUAUGGUGCAGCAAAUGGAAAUAAAGUUAGAGAAGUAUUGGAAGGAGUCCUACAAGUCGAUUUGUGUUCCGGUUGUAUUUGAUCCAAGGUUUAAGUUUGAUCUACUUGAAUAUAUGUUAAAAGACUUUGGAAGUGAAAUUGAAGCCAAUAAAUGGAUGCUUAAAUUAAAGAAAGCAAUCCAAAAGCUUUUCGAUCAGUACUCUCUAGAGAUUCUUGUUCAUCACCAAUAA